RNAcentral lists this long non-coding RNA (564 nucleotides) under Phoenix dactylifera (date palm). Its description in RNAcentral is "long non-coding RNA (PDAC_LNC001812)". Lineage: Eukaryota; Viridiplantae; Streptophyta; Magnoliopsida; Arecales; Arecaceae. The record is from RNAcentral.
CAGUUAGAAGGCCACUGAGAAGCCACCAAAAAAAAGGGAUCCGCUGUGAAAGAAAAGCAAUUUGGACUCUUUUCAUCCUCUAAAGCAGCAUCUUUUUUUGUUUGGGUCAAAUAUAGUUUGAGACUGGACAUUCAGGAACAUGAGUAACUGCUGAUUAUCUUCUUCACUGCCUGCUUGAUUUUAUUAAUGGAGGUGGCCUUUUUCUUUGUUGUGGUUUUGCUUAAAGCGCCGAGUGCAAAAUGUCUGUUAAAGGUCGGGGUCCUUUAGAACACAAGAUGAACUGGUUACAUUGUUUUGAAUCUACUGUUUGGUCCGUCGGUUCAUGAUUUUUGAAACUUAGUGCUCCUGGUGGGUUAGAAAUGUGAACUGAACUAAACAUUGUUGAAUAUGCAAUGGAUGUUGUUGAUUUCAUACGAGUAGGUGACGGACGAGCAAGCAUAAUUUUCAUCUUUUUUCUUUCAAAGAAGAAAAAAAGGCCAAGGGAGGAAAUGAGAAGCAGAGAAGAUCCUCAGAACAAAGAGGUUGGACUAUCCCACUGGUGGGACUGGUCUCACAUGUGACAUG